Molecule: ribosomal RNA, 181 nt
Filed under: Brunfelsia boliviana
Lineage: Eukaryota; Viridiplantae; Streptophyta; Magnoliopsida; Solanales; Solanaceae
Description: 5.8S ribosomal RNA
Rfam family: 5.8S ribosomal RNA (bases 1-115)
About the family: 5.8S ribosomal RNA (5.8S rRNA) is a component of the large subunit of the eukaryotic ribosome. It is transcribed by RNA polymerase I as part of the 45S precursor that also contains 18S and 28S rRNA. Functionally, it is thought that 5.8S rRNA may be involved in ribosome translocation.
Source: RNAcentral
AACGCAACGAAAUGCGAUACUUGGUGUGAAUUGCAGAAUCCCGUGAACCAUCGAGUCUUUGAACGCAAGUUGCGCCCGAAGCCAAUAGGCCGAGGGCACGUCUGCCUGGGCGUCACGCAUCGCGUCUCCCCUGCACACCACCCCCAAACUAAGGGAAGCUGUGAUGCGCGGGAUGGAUAUU